This 3660-nucleotide long non-coding RNA is filed under the name Gadus morhua (Atlantic cod). RNAcentral's name for it is "lncRNA (ENSGMOG00000030123.1)". Lineage: Eukaryota; Metazoa; Chordata; Actinopteri; Gadiformes; Gadidae. The record is from RNAcentral.
AUGGCCUAUUUGGUCCCAGGUUCUCGGAGGUGCUUGCGCACCAGCGGUCAGUCCGUGAGGAUCGUUCCCGGUUCGGGACGAUCCAUGGGGCCGCCUCCGACUCCAGCCCCGGUGCAGCAGCCGCAGCCGCCGCGCACGGGGAGAGCAGCAGCGCCACGGACCGGGAAGUUCCGGACGCUUGCUCCUACUUUUUCUUUCCCUAUUAAAGAAAAGAGUAAAGACCGUUCGGCCGAACGGCAGUACAUGGUACCUAAAGAGCGAUAUUCCCCAGGCCACCUGCGCCCUACGCUUGUGGUGCGCUCCUCCAUGUUGCCUCUUUCCCCCUCUCAGCCCGGUGGCUGUAGGGUGGCGGUCGGACGGCGUGUUCACUUGGCCUCUGGUUCACCUGCUUCUAAGAAGCGGCGUCCCUUGGAGCCUCGUGGACGGAUCAGAGACUCGUUGCACGGUCUCCUGGUUUCCCACAUUAUAGGUGAGGAGAUGGGUCCGCGCGCUGUGGCUACAGCCUGCGGACAGCGCAUGCGCACAGGUGCUGCGGCCGGACGGCUCGCUCCCUGUUCAGCGGGCACGAGCGCGACGUCUAGACAGCUCGUUGUUUUUACAACUGCUAGUUGUGGUACGUCUCCUACGCUCGCUGAGCCUCCUCCCUUUCGUGGGAAGCCCCCCUUGGUCCACACGCAGUGUGAAGGCGGUAGGGGCAGAGGAAUACGGGUUAUUCCUGGACGGUCUUCCUCAGCUGUCGGCUCGCCCUCUCUCCAACCGCUAUGCGUGUUGGCAAGAGCGGUGCGUUCUGCCAUCGUGGUUGGACACCACGUUGAGAUGGGGCCAUCCCAUACAGUUCAAGCGUCGUCCCCAACCCUUUAUGGGGUUGGUGGAGACCACGCUACGGGACCCGGCUGCGAGCACGGCUCUGGCAGCAGAGGUGGCACGUCUCUUGGUAAAGGGGGCCAUCACUGUCGUUCCCCCCCACGAGUCUCACCUAGGUUUUUAUUCCCGCUACUUCCUGGUUUCCAAGAAGUCAGGGGAAAUGAGACCUAUUCUGGAUCUUCGCGUGUUCAACAGAUUCGUUGCCACGAGGAAGUUCAGAAUGCUCACGGUCGGAGCAUUGUUCCGGUGUGUGAGAGAGGACGAUUGGUUCACAUCCCUGGAUCUCAAGGAUGCUUACUUCCACGUCCCUGUUCGGCAGGCGCACAGGAAGUUUCUCCGCUUUGCCUUUAUGGGGAUGGCGUACGAGUACCAGUGUCUGCCGUUCGGCUAUUCCCUGGCGCCGCGCACCUUCUCGAAGUGUGUGGAGACGGCGUUGGAACCGCUCAGACGUCAGGGAAAGAGGAUUCUCUUCUACCUAGACGAUCUGCUUAUUCUGAGCAACUCAGAAGAGACCGCGAGAAGGGACACCAUGUUGGUGAUAAACCAUCUCUCCUUCCUGGGUUUUGCCAUCAACUGGGAGAAGAGCUCCCCGCUCCCCAGCCGGCAGACAGUCUACUUGGGGCUUUGCCUAGACUCAGCCACCAUGACUGCGAUGCUUUCGCCUCCUCGGCGAGACGCCAUCCUGUCGGCGCUCUCCCGUUUUCACGUUCACAGAAACGUGACCGCACUGUCCACCAUGCGCCUGUUGGGGCUGAUGGCAGCUGCCCACCCCGUGGUCCCCCUGGGUCUGCUUUUUAUGCGCAGACUCCAGCGGUGGUUUGCUCGCCAACGGUUGGACCCCAGGCGACACAAGCUCAGGGUGCUCCUCGUCCCCCGUUCGGUGUCGCCAGACCUGGAAUAUUGGAAAGGACCCUCCGCCCUUCUCAAGGGUGCUCCACUGGGCAGGGUGGCGUCCUACGUAGUGGUCUUCACGGACGCCUCGUUGACGAGUUGGGGAGGAACGUGCCUCUCUCACUCGGUCGGAGACGAGUGGCGCACGCCCCCUACAGCACACAUAAAUGUGUUGGAGCUCGACGCUGUGAGGAAAGUGCUGUUGCAUUUCUUUCACCUGGUGCGCGGCCGCCACGUUCUGAUCAGGACAGACAGCGUGUCGGCGGCGGCGUACAUCAACAGACAGGGGGGAGUCCGCUCCCCUGCUCUCCACCGAAAGGCGGUCGAGCUCUGGCUUUGGGCUCAUCAGUAUCUCCGCAGUCUGAGAGCCCUGCAUAUCGCGGGCGCCAAGAACUUUGGGGCGGACCUCAUGUCUCGAGGCGGUCCCCGCCGAGACGAGUGGCGGUUACAUCCCGACAUUGUCAGACUGAUCUGGCAGAGGUUCGGGACAGCGCAGGUGGACCUCUUCGCGUCCCGGGAGAACACGCACUGCAGGUGGUGGUUCUCCCUCAGCCCUCGGGAUCUUCCCCCGUUGGGGGUAGAUGCGUUGGCACACACACCUUGGCCGCGGGCUCUCUUGUAUGCGUUUCCCCCGCUCCAGCUGAUCCUUCCUCUUCUGGAACGGGUCAGACAGGAGAGACUGUCCCUGAUAUUAGUGGCCCCGGAGAACCGUUCAGCUCUGUGGUUUCCAGAGCUUGCCGCGCUCUCGCGGUCGGCGCCUUGGCCAGUACCAUUCAGGCCGGAUGCGUUUUCACAGGCCCACGGGACGGUGCACCACCCGCCCGAUGUCUCGGGACGGCUGUUGGUUUGGCUCCUGAGAGGUUGAUCCUGCAGGGCAAAGGUUUGCCUGAGACGGUUAUCAACACUAUUCAGAGUGCUCGUGCGCCUUCUACUUCUUCCCUCUAUGCGGCGAAGUGGUGCGCCUUCUCUAAUUGGUGUGAGACGAACCACGCUGUCCCAUCUCAAUGCGAGGUGGGAAGCGUGCUUUCGUUUCUGCAAAACUUAUUGGAAAAAGGUUUGGCCUUCUCCACUAUCAAGGUCUAUGCGGCAGCCGUUUCGGCUGGCCAUGCAGGCUGUGAUGGUGGACCGAUCUUCAGCCAUCCACUGGUCAAGAGAUUCUUGCGUGGGGCUAGACGGGUUAGGCCUGUUUCACGCGUGCUUACACCACGCUGGGAUCUCCCCACCGUGUUGCGCGGAUUGUCCAGGGAUCCUUUCGAGCCUCUCUCCCAGGCCCCUUUCGAUGCCCUGUCAUUCAAGACGGCGCUCUUGUUGGCCUUGGUUUCUGCCAAGCGGGCCGGUGAGCUAACCGCUCUGUCUGUCAGCCCGAGUUGCUUGUUGCUAAACGAGGACAGCUCCUUCGCGUUGCUCAGACCUAAUCCUGCGUUCCUCCCGAAGAACAUUAAUAGUUCUUUUCGGUCGAGGGAUAUUGUGCUUAAGGCUUUUCACCCCCCGCCUCAUUGUAGUGAGGCGGAGGCGGAGUUGCAUCUCCUGUGCCCGGUUCGGGCGUUGGCUAUGUACGUGAAUCGCUCGGCAGCGUUCCGCUCCACACAACAGUUGUUUGUGUGUUAUAGCGACGCUAGCAGGGGCCGCGCUCUCUCUAAGCAGCGGUUUUCUCGCUGGGUAUGUGAGGGUGUUUGCCUAGCCUACUCUCGGCAGGGCUUGGCGCCACCGUUGGGCGUUAAAGCUCACUCCACACGGAGCGUGGCCGCUUCAACGGCUCUACUCAAGGGCGUUUCGGUGGAAGACAUCUGCGCGGCUGCGUCUUGGUCUUCCCCCGGCCCCUUUGUCCGUUUUUACAUGUUAGACAUGUCCAGGGGCUCACUCGGCAACUCUGUGCUAGAGUCCGGGACCCCUUUUACGGCUUAA